GAUUACUCCUACGGGAGGCAGCAGUGGGGAAUUUUGGACAAUGGGCGAAAGCCUGAUCCAGCCAUGCCGCGUGCAGGAUGAAGGCCUUCGGGUUGUAAACUGCUUUUGUACGGAACGAAAAGACUCUUUCUAAUAAAGAGGGUCCAUGACGGUCCCGUAAGAAUAAGCACCGGCUAACUACGUGCCAGCAGCCGCGGUAAUAAU
Molecule: ribosomal RNA, 204 nt
Filed under: uncultured bacterium
Lineage: Bacteria
Description: partial 16S ribosomal RNA
Rfam family: Bacterial small subunit ribosomal RNA
Source: RNAcentral